GAGAGGCAGAUAGAGUUAUUCCUAGUCUCAAACCUAAGCACUUAUUUUCUGGGAAGCGUUCCAUUGGGAAAACCCAAAGACGCUGAUUAUUCAAGGUUUGUCACAUAAAUAGCACUUGAUUUUUUUUCCCUGCUUGUCUUGUGUUUAUUUCUUUAAUACUUGCGCUUUCUUUUCGGUUGGCUACGGUUGCUUUGGGUUUUGGCUGAUUGACAUGCCAUUUUCGUUUCAACCCAUAAUUUUCCUGGCUGUUACACGCUCGUUAUUUGUUUCCUCCUUGUGUGACAACAUUUUUUUUUUCUACGAAAAUGUAUACAACUUUCUGGUUUAUUUGAUUUUAUUUUAAUGAAAGAGCUUCUUUAUUUAAAUGUUGAAUGUGAAGAAAAUGGCUGCAGUGAAAUCCAAUUGAAAAAGUUUCUUAUUCUUUUUUGUUUUUUUUUUCUUUAAUCUUGCAGGGGAAGGCGUGAUUAUAUUUUAAAGAGUUGUGCUGAGCUGACGUGGAUUGUAUUUGCUGCUUACAUGCCAAUAUCAUUUAUUUACUUAACUGCCCUGUUUGGGGCAGUGAAUGAGUUUUUUGUUUGAUCUUUGUCUGCUAAGUGCUAAGCCAAUUUUGAAUGAGAGAUUUUAAUUUUAUAUAUUUUGCUGUUAAGUUCUAAACUAAUUUUAUAUAUUUUGCCAUUAAUUUCUAUACUAUCUAAUGCGAGGAGAUGCUGAUGGAGUAAAGUUGAGUUCUGAGAUUCAUCUCCCUCCUUCCCGUUUCAGCUGCUUGGAGGGUCUGAGACGACAGGUGGGUUGCAGGAGCUCUUCUUGGAUUUGGUUAGGCUUCGUUAGCCUUUCUUUAAUGGUAGCUAGAACCCUUUUGUUGUGUUUCUUUGGUUGUGAUCGUCGCCCACGGAGGAUGGCAAGGUCGGCGCUGCAAGGUGCUUCAGCUGUUAAUUUGUAAAGGGGUCCGGGUCAGCCAUAAUGGGACGAAUCCUCAUUGGCCUAAGGUUUCAGCUGGCUGGGCUUUAGGCUUGGGUGUAUCUGUUUGGGCCUGCGGUUUGUGGGCUUAAUUAGAGAUCCUUGUUUUAUCAUGCCUUGGGCAGCGUUGCUGGUGAAUAAAAUUGUCAUCUUUGAAAAAUAAUAAUAAUAAUAA
This 1132-nucleotide unclassified non-coding RNA is filed under the name Hevea brasiliensis (rubber tree). The record is from RNAcentral. Lineage: Eukaryota; Viridiplantae; Streptophyta; Magnoliopsida; Malpighiales; Euphorbiaceae.